ACAGCUCCAAAGAGAGGUGCUAACUGGUCUGACUGCUGGGAGGAUAACAGUUGAAGCACAGAGGACCAAGAUUUUGGGAAGCUGACCAAAGAGAAUGGCAAAAACUUGAGGGUGUGAGGGAGACUACAGACCUACAGGCAGGAAGUCUGAUGCUACCAAAAGGAAAAAGAAAUUGUGGGGACACCAACAUCAGAAACACAUUUCAACCUUUAAAGGACUCGUGAAAAUAUACGUUCAGCCUUGCUUUUCAACGUUUAGAUCAAGUGAUGGCGCCAAGAUGUAUCCUUCUGUGGCAAAUAAUUCACAGAUUCCAACUCAUUGGAGAGCCCAAAAGCUUUGUCUUAUGCCACUGUAACUUCAGCAGUAUUUCCCUGGACCGUGGAUUAAGUUUGCUGAAGCAAAAAAAUGACGAUCUGUCUGAUCUGUUCCAACAGCACUGCCAGACAAAGGCUGAAGCUGUUGUGGAAGCUGCUGUCUAACUGUGUUCAUGUUUCACAUCUGAUGGGUUCAGCUUGUCUGCACUCCUCAGACUUCUUUCCAGAAGACAGAGUACAUUCUUUCCAAUUUAU
Long non-coding RNA from Pipra filicauda (Wire-tailed manakin), 569 nucleotides. RefSeq lists it as uncharacterized. The record is from RefSeq and is a predicted model, not a curated record. Lineage: Eukaryota; Metazoa; Chordata; Aves; Passeriformes; Pipridae. The transcript has 3 exons.